RNAcentral lists this ribosomal RNA (27 nucleotides) under Circinella muscae. Its description in RNAcentral is "partial 5.8S ribosomal RNA". The record is from RNAcentral. Lineage: Eukaryota; Fungi; Mucoromycota; Mucoromycetes; Mucorales; Lichtheimiaceae.
ACUUUUAGCAAUGGAUCUCUUGGUUCU